This 103-nucleotide microRNA precursor is filed under the name Marmota monax (woodchuck). Lineage: Eukaryota; Metazoa; Chordata; Mammalia; Rodentia; Sciuridae. The record is from RNAcentral.
AGUGGGAUAGCUGGGUCAAAUGGCAGUUCCAUUCCAAGUUGUCUGAGGAAUCUCCAUACUGCUUUCCAUAGUUAUUGCACCAAUUUGCAGUCCCACCAGCAAU